Molecule: ribosomal RNA, 450 nt
Filed under: Leptotrichia sp. oral taxon 498
Lineage: Bacteria; Fusobacteriati; Fusobacteriota; Fusobacteriia; Fusobacteriales; Leptotrichiaceae
Description: bacterial SSU rRNA
Rfam family: Bacterial small subunit ribosomal RNA
Source: RNAcentral
GAUGAACGCUGACAGAAUGCUUAACACAUGCAAGUCGAUGGGGAAGCGGCGCUUGCGCCGUGGCAACCAUGGCGGACGGGUGAGUAACGCGUAAAGAACUUGCCGGAUGGACCGGGAUAACAGCUGGAAACGGCUGGCAAGACCGGAUACUGUGGGCUGGCCGCAUGGCUGGCCCAUGAAAAGGGAUGCCGUCCGAGAGCUUUGCGUCCUAUUAGCUGGUUGGUAAGGUGACGGCUUACCAAGGCGAUGAUAGGUAGCCGGCCUGAGAGGGUGGACGGCCACAAGGGGACUGAGAUACGGCCCUUACUCCUACGGGAGGCAGCAGUGGGGAAUAUUGGACAAUGGGGGCAACCCUGAUCCAGCAAUUCUGUGUGCACGAAGAAGGUUUUCGGAUCGUAAAGUGCUUUCAGCAGGGAGGAAGGAAGUGACUGACCUGCAGAGAGCGCGCAA